Long non-coding RNA from Gasterosteus aculeatus aculeatus (three-spined stickleback), 2821 nucleotides. The record is from Ensembl. Lineage: Eukaryota; Metazoa; Chordata; Actinopteri; Perciformes; Gasterosteidae.
ACACACGGGCACACGCAAACACUUGCCGCUAAGCGGUACGGAAGACAGAGGGAUUGUGAUUAUUCACAUUUAGAGGUGAAAUAGAGCAUGUGGUGACAGCAGAGCGGCGGCAGCGUCCAGAGGGGAUUGGUGAUGGGGGGACGAACACAACACCAGAAUGGUUUUUCAGAUUUUCAAAAAAAAAUUGUUUGAAUUUUCAGGCAUGAUUGGUUCUAGUUUCAAAUGGGACGUUUCUAUGGAGCAGGCGCAUUUGCAUUCUGCCAGGUGUGACUGGUGUUGACAUGAAAUGCCAUAUAAUACAUUACAACUAACCCUUAAAACUGGCUGAUCAGGAAAGACUUACACCAUCGGCUCUCAAGCUUACAGCGAAAAAUGAUGUAUUCGAUGUCGCUGCCCCAUCUGUUGCUCUUCGCCAUGUGACGCUGUGCUUUCAUGUUGUUCAUAUAGCAUGGCAGAUAUUUCUGCUUCUCUUCAUGUGUAGCGAUAGGACUUAAAAGCUUCAGUAGUGUUCUUAAAAAAACAUGUUCCCACAUGGAUACAUUGUUUAAGUCCAGUAUCAACCGAGCAGUCACCUCAGUCAAGCUUCAGAGAGCUUUUAAGAUCCUAAAGACGGCUUGGCAACUUCCAAUCACAUACGUGCUUUUGCAAAUUUCUUCAACCUUGUGGAGAGCUUCUAAUAGGUCGCGGCAGUCCGCCGCACACACUGCAGAGGGUUGUUCAGCACAAACUAGGGGCACAAACAGCAAGCACUGUUUGUGUGUGUAUACAGGAUAUGUGCAUUCGUUAUCUAACUGGUCUCCCAAAAAUCCAAUCACACUGUGAAGCUCAGGUCAGUUCAUCACAUCUCAAUGGUCCCUGAACAUAAUCACAUUGUAUUUUGGAAAUGUUUCAAAAGUUAGAAGAAAUAAGAAAUGGCAUCGACCGAAGACAACGUCCUCACUCUAAUCCACUGUGGCAGAGGACAUCACGUGGGAACCACAAUUAAAGAUUCAAGCACGAUUACAUCCAUUUUCCCCAAAAUAAUUAUAAGACCUGGCCCACGAUUUGGUGAUCACAGUCUGUAAAGGGAUGAUUCAAUUUUGCCUUUGAAACAUGUUUUUGUCUUUGACAUGGUGCAUUGAGGAGAGCUACCAAAUCUGCUGAAUAAAGAAUCGAAGAGAAGUAUUUCUAAAUGGGUGUUGGAUCCUUUUCAGUUCUAAACAAAUAUCACUAUGUCUUGUGCACAAUAUUGGCCUGCCUUUCCCAGGCAUUAAACAAACUUGCAUUAAAAAAUAAGUUCACUAGUCAAAAUCAAUAAAAUUCCUUGAAGAUGGGGAAGUUUUCAAUCUCUUAUGUCAAACAAGUACCAAAAUCCUUUCACCUUGUGUCGUGGUUCCAAUGUUACAGUCAACAAUAUCAAUAUCAUUAAAUCAUUUUGAUAACAACAAUGAUUCAAUUGAAACUCCAUAAUGUGAAAUAGUUCUGUGCUCUGCCAAACUCACUGAGCAUCAGCACUCAGCAACAGUCUAGGUUUAGUCUCACGGCUUUCAGCAACAGAUGGAUGACAUUCUAGUUUUAGACAAGAUAAUAGAAAACCACAGGGUUUUGGUUUCAUGUCAUGAAGACGUAUUAAUGGACAUUUUUAUCAAUCAGAUAUGAUAGUAGUUGUUUCCCACAUGAAAUCUUGCCAUUUAGACAUCAAAGUACCAGACCCGGUAUGACAGAGGGGACGGUGGUGCAUGAAAUUCAACAGAUAACAAUAUAUAAUAAUGUAAUAAAUCAUAAUGCAUUUAAGAUCCCUGGAAUGGCAUUGGGCAAAGCUUCACUCAUAUGAAACUAUGUCACUGCUGGAUCCUAAAUGUAGAAUUGUAUUAAGAGGCUGAACACACAUAAACAUCUCUAACAUCCAUUUGUGAUAAUGUCCUUGGAAAUAAUCAAAACGAAGUUUGUAUAAUCAUCAGGGACAAUGGACAAUGCAUGUACAAGGGACUAUUUUUAUUACUAUCAUUAUCUAAACCCAUCAGUCUAUUAAACCUGAAAUACAAAACAUCACCAUAUUGCAUACUGUCACCAGACACAUUUUGUUAAUAAUCAACAACCUUUCAUGAAAAAAUAGCAGGAAAAUGAUCUAAUAGAAGACAAAUUUGUAAUCCAAAUAUGUCCCUGCCACUUUGCAUGCUUUGAUUGUGAGUUUAAUCACACUGAUAUCAUCAGACUGCAGUGUUUACAAUUUUUGUCUUAGUUCCAUCAUAACCAUUUUUAAUAAAAACACAUAGAUACAGGGUCAAUUAUCCUAACAUAUUUCACCAGAGGACACGACGGAGACAAAGAUAAAAGAGGGCGAUUUUGGGAAAGAGUCCAACAAGGUGGAGAGAGAGAGAGAGAGAGAGAGAGAGAUAGCUGCACAAAUCACUGUGACACUAAAGAACUAGUCUUCAGAAAGGGAAUUAACAGACAAUUUGCAUAUUAACAUAAUCCUUUCCUUUCAUUCCCUUUUCUUGAUGUCUGUCAGUUUGGGCACCUCUGGUUCCUCAUUUGGUCUCCUUAUCACUCCAUUCCAGGAUCGUUGGGAAUCUUUUCGCUUCCCCAGUGAACUCUAGCUAAAAAGGCAACAACUUCAAAUCCGUUCAAUUAUUUUGCAGCAUAGGCUGAUGUAAGGAGAUGUCACUGAGCGAUCUGCGAGAUAAAAACUGUAAACUAUAGAGUUUAUCAAAGAAAAGGAGACAAGGAAUUGGAGGAUUAAAGAAGAGGGACUGCGGCUGUUGCCCCAAGGUGAGUCACUUAUUAAAUCUGACAGUCCCAAUAUUAAAAAACUGCACUUAUAAAUACCACCUGAAACUAA